GUGCUUUAGCAGCACAUAUACUAAAAUCGGAGUGAUACGGAGAAGACUACCAUGGCCUCCGAGCAAGAAUGACACAAAAAUUCUGAAAAAAAAAAAAAGCCUGA
Small nuclear RNA from Pongo abelii (Sumatran orangutan), 104 nucleotides. The record is from Ensembl. NCBI's taxonomy places the organism in Eukaryota, Metazoa, Chordata, Mammalia, Primates, Hominidae.